Molecule: ribosomal RNA, 455 nt
Filed under: uncultured bacterium
Lineage: Bacteria
Description: bacterial SSU rRNA
Rfam family: Bacterial small subunit ribosomal RNA
Source: RNAcentral
AACGCGAAGAACCUUACCAGGGCUUGACAUGCACGGUGCCGCUCCAGAGAUGGGGUUUCCUUUUGGGUCGUGCACAGGUGGUGCAUGGUUGUCGUCAGCUCGUGUCGUGAGAUGUUGGGUUAAGUCCCGCAACGAGCGCAACCCUCGUCCUGUAUUGCCAGCAACAUUCUCCACUUGUGGGGGGUGGUUGGGGACUUGCGGGAGACUGCCGGGGUCAACUCGGAGGAAGGUGGGGAUGACGUCAAAUCAUCAUGCCCCUUAUGUCCUGGGCUGCACGCAUGCUACAAUGGCCGGUACAGAGGGCUGCGAUACUGUGAGGUGGAGCGAAUCCCUUAAAGCCGGUCUCAGUUCGGAUCGGGGUCUGCAACUCGACCCCGUGAAGUCGGAGUCGCUAGUAAUCGCAGAUCAGCAACGCUGCGGUGAAUACGUUCCCGGGCCUUGUACACACCGGAGUA